GGAUAGGUGGCCGAGUGGCUGAAGGCACGCGCCUGGAGAGCGCGUAAACGGGUAACCGUUUCGUGGGUUCGAAUCCCACCCUAUCCG
Non-coding RNA from Gemmatimonadetes bacterium 13_2_20CM_2_69_23, 87 nucleotides. NCBI's taxonomy places the organism in Bacteria, Pseudomonadati, Gemmatimonadota. The record is from Rfam.